GACGAACGCUGGCGGCGUGCCUAACACAUGCCAGUCGAGCGAAAAGACGAGGAUCUUGCCCCUCUGACGUUAGCGGCGGACGGGAGAGUAACAUGAGGAUAACCUACCUAUAAGACUGGUAUAACUACGGGAAACCGGAGCUAAUACCGGAUAAUAUCUUGAACCGGGUGGUUCAAUAGUUAAAGACGGUUUUGCUGUCACUACUAGAUGGAUCCGCGCUGGAUUGGCUGGUGGUUAAGGUAACGGCUUCUGAGGGCAAGGAUGGGUAGGCGACCUGAGCGGGGGGUCGGCGGCACUGGAGCUGACACGCGGUCCAGACUCCGACGGGAGGCAGCAGUAGGGAAUCGUCCGCAAUGGGCGGAAGCCUGACAGAGCAGCGCGACGUGAAUGAUGAAGGUCUUCGGAUCGUAAAACUCUGUUAUGGGGGAAGAACAAAUGUGGAAGUAACUAUGCACGUCGUGACGGUACCUAAUCAGGAAGCAACGGCUAACUACGUG
RNAcentral lists this ribosomal RNA (497 nucleotides) under uncultured bacterium. RNAcentral's name for it is "partial 16S ribosomal RNA". It matches the Rfam family "Bacterial small subunit ribosomal RNA", at positions 28 to 507 of the family's 1533-position model. The record is from RNAcentral.